UACGUAGGGUGCAAGCGUUAAUCGGAAUUACUGGGCGUAAAGCGUGCGCAGGCGGUUAUGUAAGACAGAGGUGAAAUGCCCGGGCUUAACCUGGGAACUGCAUUUGUGACUGCAUGGCUAGAGUUUGGCAGAGGGGGGUAGAAUUCCACGUGUAGCAGUGAAAUGCGUAGAUAUGUGGAGGAACACCGGUGGCGAAGGCGGGUCUCUGGGCCGUAACUGACGCUGAGGAGCGAAAGCGUGGGGAGCGAACAGG
This 253-nucleotide ribosomal RNA is filed under the name uncultured bacterium. RNAcentral describes it as "partial 16S ribosomal RNA". It matches the Rfam family "Bacterial small subunit ribosomal RNA", at positions 524 to 776 of the family's 1533-position model. The record is from RNAcentral.